GGAUUGUAGCUCAGUGGUAGAGCACUUGCCUAGAACAUGUGAUACUGGGUUUGAUCCUCAGCACCA
Molecule: transfer RNA, 66 nt
Filed under: Marmota monax (woodchuck)
Lineage: Eukaryota; Metazoa; Chordata; Mammalia; Rodentia; Sciuridae
Description: tRNA.Leu
Source: RNAcentral